Molecule: long non-coding RNA, 1268 nt
Filed under: Homo sapiens (human)
Lineage: Eukaryota; Metazoa; Chordata; Mammalia; Primates; Hominidae
Description: HSALNT0315921
Source: RNAcentral
AAAUACUAUGUUAUUUAGCUCUUCUAUCAGCAGGUAAGCUAUAGGACCUAUUACUUGUAAUGUUACUCAAAGGAAAAUCUCAUCUCUUUCAAUUUUUUUUCAAAUUAAUUAGAAAAUUGCAUGCUUACUAUGAUGUAGGGAAGACAGAAUAGGGACAAAAUAAAUUUUAUAGUUUAUUCAGUUAAUUUGUGUGUGGUAAGGUGGAGUGGAGAAGGUGACAUUUGUAAUUGCAUAUCAUAUUUGCAAAUGCAAAUAUUUGCAAAAUGUCAAUAUAUAGAGUCAGCCCUCUGCAUCUGUGGAUACAACAAACUGUGGAUCAAAAAUAUUUCAAGGAACAAAAAAUAUCAACAUGGUAAUAAAAAUAAUGUAAAUAAAAAACAAUACAUUAUAACAAUUAUUUGUAUAGCAUUUACAUGGUAUUAGAGUUAUAAAUACUCUACAGAUGAUUUAAAGUAUACAGGAGAAUGUGCAUAGGUUAUAUGCAAAUACUGCCAUUUUAUUUGAGAGAUUUGAACAUCUGCAGAUUUUGGUAUCCUCAGAAGUCCUGAAACCAAUUCCCCGAGGAUACCCAUGAAGGACUGUACAUAUACACCCACACACAAUGACUUUUAUUCCCACACAGGUUUGUGGGGAAAAAAAGGAAGAGUGAACUUGGGUUACAUGAAUCCAAUUGGUUACACCUAAUUUUCUCCAUUUUCUCUUCUUCACUUCUAAUUGCUAAAUUAAAAACAAUUAAUAAUUUUCAUAAAAUGAGUAUUUUGUUUUCCACAGAUACUUCUUAAUGCUAUCAUUACAAAUACUCUACUGGAACAUAUAUACUCCCUCCUAAAUGUUCUAUAUUAUCAAAGGUAUACUUUCUUAAAGAAGUAGAUUUGAGAUGACAGAAUUUCAUGAAGAUUUGUAAAAUUAACUAUAACUUGUUAAAUAUGGAUGAAUAUUAACUUGUUAAUUUAAAUUGAGCAGAGAUAAAGGAAAGCAAGAUAUGUAAGCUGUUUAUUGCAUCAGUAAUUUUCAAAGAAAAUGAAUGUAAAGUAAACAGAGCAACAGAAGUGAGAGCAAAGAUUCUUUCCAGCUUUCCACAUCUUUGAAUUGAAACGAUAAGCCUCUGUCAAGUUUUAACUAGUCCUCCUUUACAUGUUCCUUUAUUUAUAGAAAUAUUUCAAGUAACAGCUUUUGUUCUCUCCAGUUAAAAACUUUGUGUGAUUUUCAUGCUGCUAAAAAGACACAUGCACAUGUAUGUUUAUUGUGGCACUAUUCACAAUAGCAAA